This 301-nucleotide ribosomal RNA is filed under the name uncultured bacterium. RNAcentral describes it as "partial 16S ribosomal RNA". It matches the Rfam family "Bacterial small subunit ribosomal RNA", at positions 509 to 807 of the family's 1533-position model. The record is from RNAcentral.
CAGCAGCCACGGGAAUACAGAGGGUGCGAGCGUUAAUAGGAUUUACUGGGCGUAAAGCGUGCGUAGGCGGCUUCUUAAGUCGGAUGUGAAAUCCCUGAGCUUAACUUAGGAAUUGCAUUCGAUACUGGGAAGCUAGAGUAUGGGAGAGGAUGGUAGAAUUCCAGGUGUAGCGGUGAAAUGCGUAGAGAUCUGGAGGAAUACCGAUGGCGAAGGCAGCCAUCUGGCCUAAUACUGACGCUGAGGUACGAAAGCAUGGGGAGCAAACAGGAUUAGAUACCCCUGUAGUCCCUGUCUCUUAUAC